RNAcentral lists this ribosomal RNA (459 nucleotides) under uncultured bacterium. RNAcentral's name for it is "partial 16S ribosomal RNA". It matches the Rfam family "Bacterial small subunit ribosomal RNA", at positions 338 to 795 of the family's 1533-position model. The record is from RNAcentral.
CCUACGGGAGGCAGCAGUGAGGAAUAUUGGUCAAUGGGCGGGAGCCUGAACCAGCCAAGCCGCGUGAGGGAAGAAGGUACAGCGUAUCGUAAACCUCUUUUGUCAGGGAACAAAGGCGGGGACUAGUCCCCGGAUGAGGGUACCUGAAGAAAAAGCAUCGGCUAACUCCGUGCCAGCAGCCGCGGUAAUACGGAGGAUGCGAGCGUUAUCCGGAUUUAUGGGGUUUAAAGGGUGCGCAGGCGGCCUGUUAAGUCAGCGGUAAAAGCCCGGGGCUCAACCCCGGCGAGCCGGUGAAACUGGCGGGCUGGAGUUGGAGAGAAGUACGCGGAAUGCGCGGUGUAGAGGUGAAAUGCUUAGAUAUCGCGCAGAACCCCGAUUGCGAAGGCAGCGUACCGGCUCCACACUGACGCUGAGGCACGAAAGCGUGGGUAUCGAACAGGAUUAGAUACCCCUGUAGUC